Oncorhynchus keta (chum salmon) is the source of this 755-nucleotide long non-coding RNA. RefSeq lists it as uncharacterized. The record is from RefSeq and is a predicted model, not a curated record. NCBI's taxonomy places the organism in Eukaryota, Metazoa, Chordata, Actinopteri, Salmoniformes, Salmonidae. The transcript is spliced from 3 exons.
GUGAGAGGAAGGUCUCUACUGUAGACUACUGGCUUAGAGAAGACUAGCAGGUCUCUACUGUAGACUACUGGCUUUGUGAAGGCAAGCAGGUCUCUACUAUAGACUCCUGGCUUAGUGAAGACUAGCAGGUCUCUACUGUAGACUACAGGCUUAGUGAAGACUAGCAGGUCUCUACUGUAGACUACAGGCUUAGUGAAGACUAGCAGGUCUCUACUGUAGACUACAGGCUUAGUGAAGACUAGCAGGUCUCUACUGUAGACUACAGGCUUAGUGAAGACUAGCAGGUCUCUACUGUAGACUACAGGCUUAGUGAAGACUAGCAGGUCUCUACUGUAGACUACAGGCUUAGUGAAGACUAGCAGGUCUCUACUGUAGACUACAGGCUUAGUGAAGACUAGCAGGUCUCUACUGUAGACUACAGGCUUAGUGAAGACUAGCAGGUCUCUACUGUAGACUACAGGCUUAGUGAAGACUAGCAGGACGUGUAGUGUGGACGUGUUGACCCGUUAGCCUCCCUCCCUCCAUGCACCAUAAAAGCGCCUGCAAGAAGGAAGGUUUCUUCAUGGUAAAUAUGAACAUAUUAAGUUCUAAAUGGCUGUGAGAAGCAGAGGUUUGGCUACACUCCCAAUCCCUAUAAGCUCCUCUCCUAUCCCCAUAUAAUGAAUGAACAGCGUAUCAUGCUAGUUAAAUCACAUUCAUCCUGUCCCCUCUCCUCUCCUCUCCUCUCCUCUCCUCUCCUCUCCUCUCCUCUCCUC